CGCGCGCGGUGCGUUGCCAAGCACCGAGGUCGCCGCCGGCCCCGGGACCCCCCCCCGGGAUCCCCAGAGCCGUGGGUCAUGCGGCGCCGGAGCGAUCGGGCCACCAAAGAGAAGGCGCUGGUGGCCACAGAGGAGGAGAUGAAGAGCGCGGGGAGGAAGGUCGAGCAGGGCCCAGAGGAGUUCCAGUGCUCCGGCAUCCUGGAGCAGGACUUCCCGGAGCUCUGCGCCCGCGCCGGCAUCGCCCAUGUCCCCAGGGUCACGCCGCGGCCGGCCCCGAGCUUCCCUGCGGAUGCGGAGCCGCCCGCGGGGACGCUGGAGGAGGCGCUGUCCCGCAUCGAGCACAGGUACAGCCACUUCCAGCCCCGCAUCCAAGUGGAGCGGGAGCAGGAGGACCCCCGGAGCGUCCGCGCCGUGUUCCUGCGAGGCUGGAAGCUCGAGGAGGACAUACUGGGGGUCCUGAGCCAGUGUCUGCCCGCGCUGGGGGCGCUGCAGGCAGUGCACCUCUGGAACGUGGCGCUGCCGGAGCCGCUGCUGCCGGUGCUGGCGGCGCUGCCAACGCGCUGCUCCCGCCUGCGGACGCUCAGCCUGGAGGGGAAUCCUUUGCCUGAAGCCGCUUUCGAGCUGUUGAUGGGCAGCGACAGCCUCACCUCUCGCUGCGGAGCUGCAGCAUCGGGGACUCGGCCGCGCAGCGCAUCGGGACGAGCCUCUCGACGCCGACGAGCUGUAACCAGCGCCUGGAGUCGCUGGUGCUGAGCUUCAACCACGUCUCGGACCUCGGCGCGCAGCACAUCGCGGAGGGGCUGCGCCUGAACCGCUCUCUGCUCUCCCUGUCCCUGGCCAGCAACGACAUCGGUGACGCCGGCGCCUCCCGGCUGGCCGAGGUCCUGGCGCCGUUCCCGCUGACACACGAGGAGGUGGUUCAGCGGCGGCGGCUGCUCCUGGCCGAGGCGAUGGGACGGUCCCGCGCGUCCCCAAAGGAGACGGAGCCCCACGGCGAGCACGGGGCGAGCCGGCGCGGCAGCACCCUGGGCAACAAGCUGCCCCCGGCCAGGCAUGGCAAAGCCGCCCCCAAGAAGAAGGUGAGCGGGGCCUCGGCUUCCCCUCCCAGCGGUGCAUGGGGCAGAGGGUCCGUCCUGCAGCCCCCUGCCCCGUCCUUUGCAGGAGUCGCAGCGGAAAGAGGAGGUCAAACAGUCCAAGAAGUUGCCGGAGCUGAAGGUGACCCGCAGCCGGGACCUCAAGUCGGGCGCGCAGGAGAGGCUGAGCCCGGAGCCGGGGGCGCGCCGCGGGACCGGCGGGUGGGACGCGGGGAUCCCGCGCUCGCUGCGGGACCCGCUGGCAGGCGCGGCCGAGCCGCCCGCGGCGCUGCUGGAGGCGCGGCAGCAGCGGGGCGCGGUGGUGCUGCCCGGGAACCGGGCGCUGCUCAACCUCAGCCUGGCCCACAACCGCGUGUCCGAGCGCGGCCUCGGCGCCUUCCUGGCGGCGCUGGAAGCGCAGCAGCGGGAGAAGCAGCCGAAGGUGCCGGGGCAGCAGGGGCUGCUGUGCCUCGGGCUGGAGAGGAACCGCAUCCCCCCCACGAGCCCGGCCCUCGCCCGGCUGCAGGAGCUGCUGCCGCCAGACCCCGACCCCAAAGGGCAGGAGCCGGAGGAGGAGCAGGAUGCGGGCACUUGAGCUGGUCCCUGCGGCACCGCACAGCACUGGGGGGGCGGGGGGGCCGGGGGGCCGGGUCCCCACCUUCCCCUUGGAAACCACCCCCAAACCCCAAACCUCCGCGGUGGAGAGGAGGAAAAGAAUCCGGGAAGGAGGAAAAGAACCUGGAGCCAGGAGGUCCAACAG
This is a long non-coding RNA of Strigops habroptila (Kakapo), 1833 nucleotides long. Lineage: Eukaryota; Metazoa; Chordata; Aves; Psittaciformes; Psittacidae. The record is from Ensembl.